Molecule: long non-coding RNA, 951 nt
Filed under: Bos taurus (domestic cattle)
Lineage: Eukaryota; Metazoa; Chordata; Mammalia; Artiodactyla; Bovidae
Description: long non-coding RNA NONBTAT011977
Source: RNAcentral
CCUAAUGUUUUGUAAGCAGUUAAUUUUCAAAAUUUUUCCGGUUUGGUCUAGGGACAAAACCUGUAACUUGAUUUUGUGGGCUUUUGAUGUUGUGAUGUGGUCUUGUAUAAAUGCACUCUCUCUCAGCUUGUCAAGUUAAAGUGUACCAGGAUGUAAUGUUGUUAAGCUUAAAUUCAGCAUAUUUCUGUUUUGGACCAGGUGGUAAGGUGCCAUAGGGUGGCAGGCAGAGCUCUUGGAGUAGCAUGAGGUUCUGGAGUCAAACUGACUCCACAGAGGCAUGCUGAAAGGAGACACAGGUGCAUGGACUGGGGAUUACUUAGAAACUGCUCUGGUGGUCUUAGAAGGUCAUGUCCACUAGGGAUACUAUCUAUUUAUAGAUUUUUAAAGGGAAUGCUAGUGGCACACACAUUCUUCUAAUAUCUAAAGCUUAGUUCUGUGAGACCUAGUGGCCCUGAAUGCUUUUUAGCACAUAUGAUCAGUUGUCCCAGAAUGGCUGCAGAAAGCCUUAUCCUUGCUAUAAGCACUAAUCAGGAUCUAUGGGAAAUUGUUCCCUGGCCCAGAGUCUCCGGUGACAUUAUUUCCUUCUGUGAGAUCAUCUUGUGACAGCAAAAGUUUGGGCUGUGUACUUAAAUUCUUACUGCUUACAUUCAGCGAUUCUCUGGAAACUUAGAGUUCCAGAGUGGCUUAGGGGAAAUAGAACUUAAGUGUAAAGAUAGGUUAUAGACUGAAGAUUCUAUCGAACUGUAUAUGCUGCCAUCAGAAAGAUGACAAAUGUAAAUUAUGACACUGACAAGGCUCAUGCUUUUGCUGACCACAGCCCUACAAGAUAAAUGAGUGCUAAACUUUUUGGUUCUUAGAACAAUUUGGGAAAUUGAUGUCAACAUACUUGUUGUAGGCGAACCGUAACUCUGUAUCUAAGGUAUAAGUUACCCUUAGCUAUUAAAAUUUUUG